This 460-nucleotide ribosomal RNA is filed under the name uncultured bacterium. Its description in RNAcentral is "partial 16S ribosomal RNA". It matches the Rfam family "Bacterial small subunit ribosomal RNA", at positions 338 to 795 of the family's 1533-position model. The record is from RNAcentral.
CCUACGGGAGGCAGCAGUGAGGAAUAUUGGUCAAUGGACGAGAGUCUGAACCAGCCAAGUAGCGUGAAGGAUGACUGCCCUAUGGGUUGUAAACUUCUUUUAUAUGGGAAUAAAAUGUUCCACGUGUGGGAUUUUGUAUGUACCAUAUGAAUAAGGAUCGGCUAACUCCGUGCCAGCAGCCGCGGUAAUACGGAGGAUCCGAGCGUUAUCCGGAUUUAUUGGGUUUAAAGGGAGAGUAGGUGGAUUGUUAAGUCAGUUGUGAAAGUUUGCGGCUCAAGCGUAAAAUUGCAGUUGAAACUGGCAGUCGUGAGUACAGUAGAGGUGGGCGGAAUUCGUGGUGUAGCGGUGAAAUGCUUAGAUAUCACGAAGAACUCCGAUUGCGAAGGCAGCUCACUGGACUGCAACUGACACUGAGGCUCGAAAGUGUGGGUAUCAAACAGGAUUAGAUACCCGUGUAGUC